Molecule: long non-coding RNA, 441 nt
Filed under: Nicotiana benthamiana
Lineage: Eukaryota; Viridiplantae; Streptophyta; Magnoliopsida; Solanales; Solanaceae
Description: long non-coding RNA (NBEN_LNC003245)
Source: RNAcentral
UUGGUGGCUCGUUACAUGGUGGGGCAGGAUGUGAUGGUUCCUGUGGAGGUGUGUACCCAGCUGGUGGUGAUGGAGUUGGAUGCUCAUAUACUGGUGUUGGUGGUGGUGGUGAAGACGAUGUCACAUAUACUGGUGGUGGUGGAGAAUGAGGCGUGUAUGUUGGUGGCUCGUAAUGUACUGGUAGAGGUGGUGGUGGUGAUUGAGGUGUGUAAAUUGGUGGCUCGUAAUGUACUGGUGGCGGCGGCGGCGGCGAUUGAGGUGUGUAUGUUGGUGGCUCAUAAUGUACUGGUGGUGGAGGUGGUGGUGGUGAUUGAGGUUUGUAUGUUGGUGGGGCGUAAUGUACUGGUGGCGGUGGAGGUGAUGGUGAUGGGUGGUGAUAAUAUAUUGGACUUGGUGGAGGUGGAGCGUGACGAGUUACAGGUGAAAUUUUGUGGGUAGGAG